UUCUUCUUCUUCUUCUUCCUUUCCUCAAGUUUUCUCAUCGCCUUUCUCACAUCCACCUCUUCUCCGAUCGUCAUGUCGUUCAGAGGCCUCCGACGGCAAAACACUUUAUCUGCAAUGGGUGUGAAUGAACACACCAAGAAAACAUUUUCUGAACUACAAAGAAAGAAAAUGUAUCGAUAUGUGAUCUUUAAGGUUGAUGAAAAGAAAAGAGAGGUGGUGGUCGACAAGAUUGGCAAUCCUGCAGAGAGCUAUGAAGAUUUCACUGCUGCUCUGCCCGACAAUGAUUGUCGCUACGCCGUGUAUGAUUUUGACUUCGUGACAUCCGACAACUGUCAGAAGAGCAAGAUAUUUUUCAUAGCAUGGUCUCCAGCUAGCUCACGAAUCCG
This 386-nucleotide unclassified non-coding RNA is filed under the name Hevea brasiliensis (rubber tree). Lineage: Eukaryota; Viridiplantae; Streptophyta; Magnoliopsida; Malpighiales; Euphorbiaceae. The record is from RNAcentral.